GUCUGGAUGGCUGAGUGGUCUAAGGCACUGUGUUUAGGUCACAGUCUCCUCUGGAGGUGUGGGUUUGAAUCCUACUUCUGACA
Molecule: non-coding RNA, 83 nt
Organism: Megalops atlanticus (tarpon)
Lineage: Eukaryota; Metazoa; Chordata; Actinopteri; Elopiformes; Megalopidae
Source: the annotation of a GenBank genome assembly